This 73-nucleotide transfer RNA is filed under the name Sus scrofa (pig). It matches the Rfam family "tRNA". From Rfam's summary of the family: Transfer RNA (tRNA) molecules are approximately 80 nucleotides in length. Their secondary structure includes four short double-helical elements and three loops (D, anti-codon, and T loops). Further hydrogen bonds mediate the characteristic L-shaped molecular structure. tRNAs have two regions of fundamental functional importance: the anti-codon, which is responsible for specific mRNA codon recognition, and the 3' end, to which the tRNAs corresponding amino acid is attached (by aminoacyl-tRNA synthetases). tRNAs cope with the degeneracy of the genetic code in two manners: having more than one tRNA (with a specific anti-codon) for a particular amino acid; and 'wobble' base-pairing, i.e. permitting non-standard base-pairing at the 3rd anti-codon position. The record is from Rfam by way of RNAcentral. Lineage: Eukaryota; Metazoa; Chordata; Mammalia; Artiodactyla; Suidae.
UUCCCGGUGGCCUAGCAGUUAAGGAUUCAGCAUUGUCACUGCUGUGGCACAGGUUUGAUCCCUGGCCUGGAAA